Molecule: ribosomal RNA, 532 nt
Filed under: Ophiosphaerella agrostidis
Lineage: Eukaryota; Fungi; Ascomycota; Dothideomycetes; Pleosporales; Phaeosphaeriaceae
Description: eukaryotic LSU rRNA
Rfam family: 5.8S ribosomal RNA (bases 172-325)
Source: RNAcentral
CAUUACAUUAGAACAUAGGCCCCAAGCUGUAGCAAUACAGCCCAAAGGCCUCUUCUAUUACCCUUGUUUUUUGAGUACCUAUGUUUCCUUGGUGGGCUUGCCUGCCAAUAGGACAAACUAUUAAACCUUUUUUAAUUUUCAAUCAGCGUCUGAAUAAACUUUAAUAAUUACAACUUUCAACAACGGAUCUCUUGGUUCUGGCAUCGAUGAAGAACGCAGCGAAAUGCGAUAAGUAGUGUGAAUUGCAGAAUUCAGUGAAUCAUCGAAUCUUUGAACGCACAUUGCGCCCCUUGGUAUUCCAUGGGGCAUGCCUGUUCGAGCGUCAUUUGUACCUUCAAGCUCUGCUUGGUGUUGGGUGUUUUGUCCUCUCCAUUGCGUUUGGACUCGCCUUAAAGCAAUUGGCAGCCAGUGUAUUGGUUUUAAGCGCAGCACAUCUUGCGUCUUUUUUCCUAUCACACUCGCGUCCAUUAAGCCUUUUUAUCACUUUUGACCUCGGAUCAGGUAGGGAUACCCGCUGAACUUAAGCAUAUCA